This is a long non-coding RNA of Erpetoichthys calabaricus (reedfish), 361 nucleotides long. RefSeq lists it as uncharacterized. The transcript is spliced from 4 exons. The record is from RefSeq and is a predicted model, not a curated record. NCBI's taxonomy places the organism in Eukaryota, Metazoa, Chordata, Cladistia, Polypteriformes, Polypteridae.
ACUUGAUUUAGCCCCUUCCAAAAAGUCCAACAUCACCACCAUUGUUAAAUACUGAAGCAACUGGAAAGUAUGGCUGGUAUGAUUAUUACUUGACUCAACAGCACAGAUUGACCGUAAGGUUACAUACAUAAUAGUGUAGUAAGAUCCCUAAUCUUAAGGUAAGAUAUGUACCAGUGUAGUAGAUAAGAUCACUAACCUUAAGGUAAGAUAUGUAAUAGUGUAGUAGGUGUGAUUACCAACCUUAAGAUAAUAUACAUAAUGGUGUAGUAGGUAAGAUCCUUAAUCUUAAGAUAUGUACCAGUGUAGUAGGUAAGAUCACUAACCUUAAGGCAAGAUACAUAAUAGUGUAGUAGGUAAGAUC